Molecule: ribosomal RNA, 615 nt
Filed under: uncultured bacterium
Lineage: Bacteria
Description: bacterial SSU rRNA
Rfam family: Bacterial small subunit ribosomal RNA
Source: RNAcentral
CUUAGUGGCGCAGCUAACGCACUAAGUAGACCGCCUGGGGAGUACGGCCGCAAGGUUAAAACUCAAAUGAAUUGACGGGGGCCCGCACAAGCGGUGGAGCAUGUGGUUUAAUUCGACGCAACGCGAAGAACCUUACCUGGCCUUGACAUGCAGAGAACUUUCCAGAGAUGGAUUGGUGCCUUCGGGAACUCUGACACAGGUGCUGCAUGGCCGUCGUCAGCUCGUGUCGUGAGAUGUUGGGUUAAGUCCCGUAACGAGCGCAACCCCUAUCCCUAGUUGCUAGCAGUUCGGCUGAGAACUCUAGGGAGACUGCCGGUGACAAACCGGAGGAAGGUGGGGAUGACGUCAGGUCAUCAUGGCCCUUACGGCCAGGGCUACACACGUGCUACAAUGGUGCGUACAGAGGGCUGCAAACCCGCGAGGGGGAGCUAAUCUCACAAAACGCAUCGUAGUCCGGAUCGGAGUCUGCAACUCGACUCCGUGAAGUCGGAAUCGCUAGUAAUCGCGAAUCAGAAUGUCGCGGUGAAUACGUUCCCGGGCCUUGUACACACCGCCCGUCACACCAUGGGAGUGGAUUGCACCAGAAGUGGUUAGUCUAACCUUCGGGAGGACGAU